This 28-nucleotide non-coding RNA is filed under the name Mus musculus (house mouse). The record is from RNAcentral. Lineage: Eukaryota; Metazoa; Chordata; Mammalia; Rodentia; Muridae.
UCAGGCUGAUACAUAAAAUGCUCAGGAC